This 675-nucleotide ribosomal RNA is filed under the name Triticum aestivum (bread wheat). Its description in RNAcentral is "partial small subunit ribosomal RNA". Lineage: Eukaryota; Viridiplantae; Streptophyta; Magnoliopsida; Poales; Poaceae. The record is from RNAcentral.
AUGGACGCCGCAAUCGUCGUCGAGUUCUUCUCUGCUGGCCCCUCCGACUUCUCUGACAUGGCGUACAGCUCGUGCAGGUUCCUCGUCUACGCAUGCCGGGUGCUGGCAACACCGAUGCAUGCCUUCAUCCACGACGUGUCCUCGGGCCUGGCAAGCCUGGUCGGCGCUUCGUCAACUUCUUUUUCGUCCGUCUACGCAUGCCCGGUGCUGACAACACCGGUGCGUGCCUUCGUCCACGAUGUGUCCCCGGACUUGGCAAACCUGCCACGACGCGUCGUCAACAACAUUUUCUUCCCGACGCACCCCUACUUCGGCACCACUGCGCCCAUGCUAACUCGGUGCCCCCUUGCGCCCGCGGCUCCACGGCGACUUCCUCGACACCGGCAACCCCGACUCGACAUCGACCACGGCAUUCUUCGCACGGCUACCUCGAUCACGGCUCCACCACCAUAUGCUCUCGGCUACAUCGACAUCGGCACAAAGGGUUAUCAUCCGCUUGAGCAACUCGUCGGAUUCCUCUACAGUCAACGCGCCCGCGACGCGACACCGUCCACGACGCUCCCGCUAGGACUGUGGGGGGAUGUCAGCCUGUCGGCUGCUAUUCUCUCCAGUCUGACCGUCCGCGACGCUCCUGUUGUCUGCGACGCUACCGCUACGACUGCGAGGGGAUGUUAG